UUGGAGGGCAAGUCUGGUGCCAGCAGCCGCGGUAAUUCCAGCUCCAAUAGCGUAUAUUAAAGUUGUUGCAGUUAAAAAGCUCGUAGUUGAACUUCGGGGUUUACCCAUUGGUCAGGCUUAAUUGUCUGUACUGGUGAGAUAAAUCUCUACCUUCUGAGGAACUUUCAUGCCAUUUAUUUGGUGUGAUGGGAAAUCAGGACUGUUACUUUGAAAAAAUUAGAGUGUUUAAAGCAGGC
This 236-nucleotide ribosomal RNA is filed under the name uncultured Diversispora. Its description in RNAcentral is "partial 18S rRNA". It matches the Rfam family "Eukaryotic small subunit ribosomal RNA", at positions 548 to 785 of the family's 1831-position model. Lineage: Eukaryota; Fungi; Glomeromycota; Glomeromycetes; Diversisporales; Diversisporaceae. The record is from RNAcentral.